CUUUACUGUAGCUUGAGAUUGGGUUUGGGCUUUUCUUGCGCAGCAUAGGUGGGAGGCUUUGAAAACAUUCUUGCGGGAGUGUUUGAGCCAUCAGUGAGAUACCACUCUAGGCAAGCUAAAAUUCUAACUUAUCACCGUUAUCCGGUGAGAGGACAUUCUCAGGUGGGCAGUUUGACUGGGGCGGUCGCCUCCUAAAAGGUAACGGAGGCGUGCAAAGGUUCCCUCAGACUGGUCGGAAAUCAGUUUUAGAGUGUAAAGGCAUAAGGGAGCUUGACUGCAAGACCUACAAGUCGAGCAGAGACGAAAGUCGGCCUUAGUGAUCCGACGGUUCCGAGUGGAAGGGCCGUCGCUCAACGGAUAAAAGUUA
RNAcentral lists this ribosomal RNA (367 nucleotides) under Madagascaria erythrocladioides. RNAcentral's name for it is "bacterial LSU rRNA". It matches the Rfam family "Bacterial large subunit ribosomal RNA", at positions 2099 to 2465 of the family's 2925-position model. Lineage: Eukaryota; Rhodophyta; Compsopogonophyceae; Erythropeltidales; Erythrotrichiaceae. The record is from RNAcentral.